Molecule: unclassified non-coding RNA, 253 nt
Filed under: uncultured Flavobacteriaceae bacterium
Lineage: Bacteria; Pseudomonadati; Bacteroidota; Flavobacteriia; Flavobacteriales; Flavobacteriaceae
Description: contains 16S-23S intergenic spacer region
Rfam family: Bacterial small subunit ribosomal RNA
Source: RNAcentral
UACGGAGGAUCCAAGCGUUAUCCGGAAUCAUUGGGUUUAAAGGGUCCGUAGGCGGGAGAAUAAGUCAGUGGUGAAAGUCUGCAGUUUAACUGUAGAAUUGCCAUUGAAAUUGUUUUCCUUGAGUCAUUAUGAAGUGGUUAGAAUAUGUAGUGUAGCGGUGAAAUGCAUAGAUAUUACGUAGAAUACCGAUUGCGAAGGCAGAUCACUAAUAAUUCACUUACGCUGAGGGACGAAAGCGUAGGUAGCGAACAGG